Molecule: long non-coding RNA, 1401 nt
Organism: Triticum aestivum (bread wheat)
Lineage: Eukaryota; Viridiplantae; Streptophyta; Magnoliopsida; Poales; Poaceae
Exons: 7
Source: RefSeq, a predicted model, not a curated record
CUCCACCCAUCACUGUUUGUCUGAAAAAAAACACCCAACCCUUGAUCCAGAUCCCCUCCUCUCUUCUCCCGAUUCACCCCUCGUCUCCCUCCCAUCCCACGCCGCCGCCGCCGCCCACCACCCCGGCGACCUCCCCACCGGCGAUCCCCAGCCUCUCCCUCUCCUUCUCCCCUGCAUCCGUCGCCCGCACCUUCCCUCCCAGUCCCAGAUCAACCCACGGGUGAGCCGGCGGCCAGGACACACGGCGGAUCUGGACAUGGACUUGGAGGUCAGCACGAAUCUAAGCUCGCCGGCGAGAUGAAUCCAUGCCCUGCGCCUGCCAGCGGAUCGUGUCGUGGCCUCCCCGAUUCGUUGCUCCGUCCGCAUCGGUCGGCUCCCCCGACGUCUCCGCGUCACCACGUGGAGAGGAACUGCGCGGUCUACGCCCCUCGCCUCCUGGGCGUUGCUCUCCGCCAGUGUUCAGUGAGCGGUGGAGUAGGCAUCCUCUCAGCCGGCUUCCACACGCUUCAGGCUUCAUCGUGCACAAAGUUAAUAAGUAAUGGUGGUUGCUGGCUUGCUGCAGACCGAUGGUGAGUAGUGAAACCACUGUUGUUCACUGACACAGUGACUCAGCCUGCAUCUAGGCCCCUUCAUCAAGAGUUCCAUCUCUCAUUAUCAUAAACAAGAGCCGGUGGCCAGGACACACGGCGGAGGUCGCCUGCGUCUCCCCAGUCGCCCUGCCACUGCUUCCUUCCUUUUCUCUGCGGCAGGAGAAGAAAGCCUUGUUGGGGUGCCCAAGCCAUGGAGCACCAUCGUCAAGUGCAGGAGAAGAAAACCCUAGACCGACCCGAGGAUUUGUCCGACAACCACCUGAGGAGGAAGUAAGCCAUGGACGGACCUCCCUUUCCUUGAAUGCUGCGCCCUCCCACCCAUCUUCCUGCAGCUGCAGGAAUUUGUGAGCUGGAGUUGCAAAAUUUGGAGUUCUCUUGACUUUGAACAUUGCAUUGGCCGCAAAGUGUAGAACGCAGAGGGGCAAUGGAUAAAAUCUACUCUGGAUAGUUGACAGAGGGAGUACAUGCUAAGUUGACUUUUUUCCUGCGGAUUUGCUUAUCGUGAAGAUGCUUGCAAGGAUGCAAAGGGAGUGGAUCAUUUGGAGAGAUAGGAUGCCACUGUUUGGUGUUUUUAUGCAUUUUGGUUUGCUUGUAACUGUGUUUGCACUAGCUGGGAGUAAGUGACUUCAAGAAGUGUAGGUGUUUUAAUUGAAGGCAUGAAAAGCCAUGACAAUAUGUAUGCUCUUACAUGAUGUGCUCUAAUGCUGCUGGUUUAUUAUAAAUCUUGGAUUAGUAAUGAUGUGUAAUGAUGUUGGUUUAUUGCAAAUAUGUGUUUGUUUUAGUUGGAAUUGUAUGCAUAGAAUGGAAUUGG